GACGAACGCUGGCGGCGUGCUUAACACAUGCAAGUCGAACGGAAAGGCCCUGCUUGCAGGGUACUCGAGUGGCGAACGGGCGAGUAACACGUGGGUGAUCUGCCCUGCACUUCGGGAUAAGCCUGGGAAACUGGGUCUAAUACCGGAUAGGAGCCAUUUUUAGUGUGAUGGUUGGAAAGUUUUUUCGGUGUAGGAUGAGCUCGCGGCCUAUCAGCUUGUUGGUGGGGUAAUGGCCUACCAAGGCGGCGACGGGUAGCCGGCCUGAGAGGGUGGACGGCCACAUUGGGACUGGGAUACGGCCCGGACUCCUCCGGGGGCAGCAGUGGGGAAUAUUGCACAAUGGGCGCAAGCCUGAUGCAGCGACGCCGCGUGGGGGAUGACGGCCUUCGGGUUGUAAACUCCUUUCGCUAGGGACGAAGCUUUUUGUGACGGUACCUAGAUAAGAAGCACCGGCUAACUACGUG
RNAcentral lists this ribosomal RNA (464 nucleotides) under uncultured bacterium. Its description in RNAcentral is "partial 16S ribosomal RNA". It matches the Rfam family "Bacterial small subunit ribosomal RNA", at positions 28 to 507 of the family's 1533-position model. The record is from RNAcentral.